UGCAGCCAUGUCAAAUUCAGUGUUGUCCUACCAUGGCAAGCACUGGCCCAGAGGCUGCCAUAGAAACUGUCAUUUUGGACCCUGUUCUCAGCCCUGUGCUUGGGGUCAGGGAUGAAUGUGGUCACAGACAACA
This 133-nucleotide small nucleolar RNA is filed under the name Peromyscus maniculatus bairdii (prairie deer mouse). RNAcentral's name for it is "Small nucleolar RNA SNORA5 (ENSPEMG00000005029.2)". It matches the Rfam family "Small nucleolar RNA SNORA5". From Rfam's summary of the family: ACA5 is a member of the H/ACA class of snoRNA that guide the sites of modification of uridines to pseudouridines. Lineage: Eukaryota; Metazoa; Chordata; Mammalia; Rodentia; Cricetidae. The record is from Rfam by way of RNAcentral.